RNAcentral lists this small RNA (120 nucleotides) under Epilithonimonas xixisoli. Its description in RNAcentral is "Chryseobacterium xixisoli Flavo-1 RNA". Lineage: Bacteria; Pseudomonadati; Bacteroidota; Flavobacteriia; Flavobacteriales; Weeksellaceae. The record is from RNAcentral.
CACUCGCAACCCGACUUGAACGGAGCUCUUUUUUGUUAUUGCGAUUAUUGAAAUGUUCUUUUGAUGGUAAAAUGUUCUUCGCAAUGACAAAAAAAGCGGGAGUGGAAGGCGGAAUAGUUG